AUGUUUAAGCAUACUAUUUCACAAUUUAAAGGGCUUUUGGAAAGAAAAAAAAAAAAGUUACUCUGUGCAUGUGUGAUAUUGCAUUCAUUCAAAAGCACAGCCUUUCACUUGCUUUUUAACCCUGAGCCCUCUCAAGUGGGACCAUGUUCUGUUGAUCUUUUCUCUACAGCUCGGCUCCUGUCUCAUAUCCUGUCCUACGUGAUCUCUAGGUUCCAAAUAUUUUCCAGACCUUCUGGACAAUGCCUGUUACUAUGCAAUGAAGUCAGACCAGAAGCUCAAAGCUACUCUCUAUAG
This 294-nucleotide long non-coding RNA is filed under the name Ovis aries (sheep). RNAcentral describes it as "lncRNA (ENSOARG00000026655.1)". The record is from RNAcentral. Lineage: Eukaryota; Metazoa; Chordata; Mammalia; Artiodactyla; Bovidae.